Molecule: ribosomal RNA, 443 nt
Filed under: Acidobacteriota bacterium
Lineage: Bacteria; Pseudomonadati; Acidobacteriota
Description: bacterial SSU rRNA
Rfam family: Bacterial small subunit ribosomal RNA
Source: RNAcentral
CUUGAGAGUUUGAUCCUGGCUCAGAAUCAACGCUGGCGGCGUGCCUAACACAUGCAAGUCGAGCGAGAAAAGGGUAGCAAUAUCCUGAGUACAGCGGCGCACGGGUGAGUAACACGUGGGUAAUCUGCCCUGGAGUGGGGAAUAACACCGGGAAACCGGUGCUAAUACCGCAUACGAUCACGGUGUCUGCGGACGUUGUGAUGAAAGGAGCAAUUCGCUUUAGGAGGAGCCCGCGGCUGAUUAGCUAGUUGGUGAGGUAAUGGCUCACCAAGGCGACGAUCAGUAUCCGGUCUGAGAGGACGGUCGGACACACUGGAACUGAGACACGGUCCAGACUCCUACGGGAGGCAGCAGUGGGGAAUUUUUGGCAAUGGGGGAAACCCUGACCAAGCAACGCCGCGUGGGUGAUGAAGUCCCUUGGGACGUAAAACCCUUUCGACGGG